GAUGAAGAACGUAGCGAAAUGCGAUAAGUAAUGUGAAUUGCAGAAUUCAGUGAAUCAUCGAAUCUUUGAACGCACAUUGCGCCCUCUGGUAUUCCGGGGGGCAUGCCUGUUCGAGCGUCAUUAUAACCACUCAAGCUCUCGCUUGGUAUUGGGGUUCGCGGUUUCGCGGCCCCUAAAAUCAGUGGCGGUGCCUGUCGGCUCUACGCGUAGUAAUACUUCUCGCGAUUGAGUUCGAUAGGUCUACUUGCCAGUAACCCCCAAUUUUUACAGGUUGACCUCGCAUCAGGUAGGGAUACCCGCUGAACUUAAGCAUAUCAAUAAGCGGAGGA
This 329-nucleotide unclassified non-coding RNA is filed under the name soil metagenome. RNAcentral describes it as "partial contains 5.8S ribosomal RNA, internal transcribed spacer 2, and large subunit ribosomal RNA". The stretch from base 1 to 120 matches the Rfam family "5.8S ribosomal RNA", at positions 35 to 154 of the family's 154-position model. The record is from RNAcentral.